RNAcentral lists this transfer RNA (68 nucleotides) under Bradyrhizobium japonicum. RNAcentral's name for it is "tRNA-Arg". It matches the Rfam family "tRNA", at positions 9 to 71 of the family's 71-position model. Rfam says of the family: Transfer RNA (tRNA) molecules are approximately 80 nucleotides in length. Their secondary structure includes four short double-helical elements and three loops (D, anti-codon, and T loops). Further hydrogen bonds mediate the characteristic L-shaped molecular structure. tRNAs have two regions of fundamental functional importance: the anti-codon, which is responsible for specific mRNA codon recognition, and the 3' end, to which the tRNAs corresponding amino acid is attached (by aminoacyl-tRNA synthetases). tRNAs cope with the degeneracy of the genetic code in two manners: having more than one tRNA (with a specific anti-codon) for a particular amino acid; and 'wobble' base-pairing, i.e. permitting non-standard base-pairing at the 3rd anti-codon position. The record is from RNAcentral. Lineage: Bacteria; Pseudomonadati; Pseudomonadota; Alphaproteobacteria; Hyphomicrobiales; Nitrobacteraceae. RNAcentral also lists the same sequence under 1 other name.
AGCCUAGUCGCUUAGGCGUUGUCCUCCGACGGCAAAGGUCACACGUUCGAAUCGUGUCGGAUGCGCCA